RNAcentral lists this ribosomal RNA (492 nucleotides) under uncultured bacterium. Its description in RNAcentral is "partial 16S ribosomal RNA". It matches the Rfam family "Bacterial small subunit ribosomal RNA", at positions 29 to 507 of the family's 1533-position model. The record is from RNAcentral.
AGUGAACGCUGGCGGUAGGCCUAACACAUGCAAGUCGAACGGCAGCACAGUAAGAGCUUGCUCUUACGGGUGGCGAGUGGCGGACGGGUGAGGAAUACAUCGGAAUCUACUUUUUCGUGGGGGAUAACGUAGGGAAACUUACGCUAAUACCGCAUACGACCUACGGGUGAAAGCAGGGGAUCUUCGGACCUUGCGCGAUUGAAUGAGCCGAUGUCGGAUUAGCUAGUUGGCGGGGUAAAGGCCCACCAAGGCGACGAUCCGUAGCUGGUCUGAGAGGAUGAUCAGCCACACUGGAACUGAGACACGGUCCAGACUCCUACGGGAGGCAGCAGUGGGGAAUAUUGGACAAUGGGCGCAAGCCUGAUCCAGCCAUACCGCGUGGGUGAAGAAGGCCUUCGGGUUGUAAAGCCCUUUUGUUAGGAAAGAAAAGCAGCAGGUUAAUACCCCGAUGUUCUGACGGUACCCAAAGAAUAAGCACCGGCUAACUUCGUG